This 513-nucleotide ribosomal RNA is filed under the name Salmonella enterica. RNAcentral's name for it is "partial 23S ribosomal RNA". It matches the Rfam family "Bacterial large subunit ribosomal RNA", at positions 1145 to 1649 of the family's 2925-position model. Lineage: Bacteria; Pseudomonadati; Pseudomonadota; Gammaproteobacteria; Enterobacterales; Enterobacteriaceae. The record is from RNAcentral. RNAcentral also lists the same sequence under 4 other names.
CAAGACAACUUUGCACAGUUGACGAUUGACGGAGCGGAGCGACGUCAAAGCGUUUUACAACGUUGAGUUGGCUUAGGGAUACGUUCGUUGGGUAGGGGAGCGUUCUGUAAGCCUGCGAAGGUGUGCUGUGAGGCAUGCUGGAGGUAUCAGAAGUGCGAAUGCUGACAUAAGUAACGAUAAAGCGGGUGAAAAGCCCGCUCGCCGGAAGACCAAGGGUUCCUGUCCAACGUUAAUCGGGGCAGGGUGAGUCGACCCCUAAGGCGAGGCCGAAAGGCGUAGUCGAUGGGAAACGGGUUAAUAUUCCCGUACUUGGUGUUACUGCGAAGGGGGGACGGAGAAGGCUAUGUUGGCCGGGCGACGGUUGUCCCGGUUUAAGCGUGUAGGUGUGUGUUCCAGGUAAAUCCGGUUCACUUUAACACUGAGGCGUGAUGACGAGGCACUACGGUGCUGAAGCAACAAAUGCCCUGCUUCCAGGAAAAGCCUCUAAGCAUCAGGUAACACGAAAUCGUACCC